UAGAGUUUGAUCCUGGCUCAGGACGAACGCUGGCGGCGUGCUUAACACAUGCAAGUCGAACGGUAAGGCCCUUUCGGGGGUACACGAGUGGCGAACGGGUGAGUAACACGUGGGUGACCUGCCCCUUACUCUGGGAUAAGCCUGGCAAACUGGGUCUAAUACCGGAUAUGACUCGCGAUCGCAUGGUUGUGCGUGGAAAGUUUUUCGGUGGGAGAUGGGGCCGCGGGCGUUUCGGCUUGGUGGGUCGUGGAUGUGCUACUGUGAGGUGGGGCGGAACCACGGCGGGGGAUUACUUCGUGGAUCGUAGGAGCGGGCGGGGGGUGGGGGGGGGGAGGGGGUGUGCGGGGUAGAAAGAAAUGGAGAGGGACGCGGGGCACGGCCCGUCCCCCGUUCACGCAGU
Molecule: ribosomal RNA, 400 nt
Filed under: uncultured Tsukamurella sp.
Lineage: Bacteria; Bacillati; Actinomycetota; Actinomycetes; Mycobacteriales; Tsukamurellaceae
Description: partial 16S ribosomal RNA
Rfam family: Bacterial small subunit ribosomal RNA
Source: RNAcentral